RNAcentral lists this ribosomal RNA (253 nucleotides) under uncultured bacterium. Its description in RNAcentral is "partial 16S ribosomal RNA". It matches the Rfam family "Bacterial small subunit ribosomal RNA", at positions 524 to 776 of the family's 1533-position model. The record is from RNAcentral.
UACGUAGGGCGCAAGCGUUGUCCGGAAUUAUUGGGCGUAAAGAGCUUGUAGGUGGCUUGUCGCGUCUGCCGUGAAAACCCGAGGCUCAACCUCGGGCGUGCGGUGGGUACGGGCAGGCUAGAGUGUGGUAGGGGAGACUGGAACUCCUGGUGUAGCGGUGAAAUGCGCAGAUAUCAGGAAGAACACCGAUGGCGAAGGCAGGUCUCUGGGCCAUUACUGACACUGAGAAGCGAAAGCAUGGGGAGCGAACAGG